AGCCCGCGCGGGAGCCACGUUUCGGCCCAACGCUGAGCGGUUGAAAGGAAGUAUCCUGGUCGUGUCGUCGCCGUUGGUGGUCGUCCCACGUCAUCUCCUGAAAUCGCCGGGUAUCCACACUCUCCCGCAGUGUCGGCUGUGUCUCCGCUGCUGUCCCGCACCGUCGGUCGCUGCGCCCGGGCCUUGCGACUAUGUGGCUCCUUGCAGACAGAGGACAGCUGUCCCUUGGAUGGCUGUGCGGGCUCUGCAUGAGCCAGCGCCCUUUUCUCCUGCAGGACCCUGAUCUGCACUGCCUGAUGUGUCCCCACCGUGUCCGGGCAGUGAGGCUGUCCCCUGGAAUUGACAUGUGACUGCUGUUCCACAUGUGUGAGAGGUGUCCUCAGGGAGAGCCUGAAUUGUGAGGUCCCAGAUGGGUCUGUGCAUGCAGAGGUGCCAUGGGCGGCGUCAGUCAUCUUCGUGUCAGCCUUCGUAUCAGCUGGGCGCCGGGCCAUGGGGCCUGAGGUAAGGUUUUCGCACCGUUUUCUAGAAUUUUGUUAUUUUGUUUCUGUAACGUCGCUGUGCAUGUUCCCUGGGGCUUGGGGGAUAACACAAGGGGAACGGAGGUAAAAGUGGCAUCCCGUGAGUUCCCAGUUGUGUUUCUGUUGAGGGGCGGUCCCUCCAUGCCUAUAGGGGAGGGGCUUGGGUAAAGGGCUCCCUGGGGCAUCUCCGGUUUCAGUGCUGGAGGCUCAGCUGCGCUGUGAUGGAAAACGUUCAUUUAGACAGCAGAGACGCUGGUCCCACCUCUGAACCUGUCUGGCUCUGUGACCUAUUCUCAACCUCUACGUCUUCAUCUGAAAAGCAAAGCUGGGAUAGUAGAGGUUUUUAAAAUGUUCACGAUGGUGUCAUGAUCCCAUGAUCCUGAUCCUUUCCAACCUAAAAGCAUUUCCAGUUUUUCAGAAAUGUCUUGACUCUCUCUGCCCCAGAGGUUUUAUGGGGUCUUUGUAGGACACAACAGAAGCUGCUACGUCGGGCUCUGCUUGGCUCAGCCGCUCUCCCCGACUCAGGCCGUUCCUCAUUCCUCAGGCCCCUGGCACCAGCCUCCCAUUCUUCCCAGCUCUCUUUCUGUCCCUUUCUUCUCCUGCAUCCGAAAGGGAUCACGGGCUGCCUGUGCGCUGGUCAUUGAUAGCGCAGGGAGAGGAAGCACUGAAAGGACUUUUCCCCGUGUUUGAAGGGUCCAGCCGUCCCUCCCAAACCCUGGAGCUUUCACACACUAGCUUUUUCCCCCUGCCGUUCCCUUCAGAGCUUGGGCCUUUGCUGGCCCCCAUGUGGUAUGGUGACUGCUAACCCCCUGAUUGGUGGGGUUCACUUUAUCUUUUCAAGUUAAGGACCUUCUGGUCAGUAACCAGUCCAUACGGUUAUAUUUGGACCUCACACUAGGGUGAGUCACAUGGUGCCGAAGGGCAUGGUUGAGGAUUAUAAAUCGUGGGGUCUCCGCUUUAUGAAUUUAUAGGAGUGGAGGGUAAUCCAUAAUAACACGCUAUCCCAGACAGCGUGACUGAAAUGCUCGCUCGUGUGUUGUCUUCGGUCCUUUACUCUUUCUCGAGCACAAUGUGUAUUGCUUCUCCGGGAGCCCUCCCGAAUAUGGAUUAAGUAGAGAAUGAAAGGUAAAAGGUGGGGGCCAGAUAUAGGGGCACAGGGGUUCUGUCAAUUCUAAAUCAAGAAAGUUUUCAUUUGUCACAGCCUCCCGGACGAUUGGGGAGCGUUGUUGCCAGUCACCAAGGAGAGAAGAUAAUUGACUGAUUGCCCUCCUUUGGCUGACUUUUCAUUUGUGCCUUUGUGGGUUCUCUUUUGAAAAGGGUGACCCUAGGGGUUUACUAGAGAAGAAAUUCUCAGGUCUGUGGGUCUUUGAAAUCUGUAUUUGUAGACUCCAGACUCCCUCGCCUGUGUCCUGGUUCACGUUAGGAUAUUGUGUUGCCGACUGGGCUCCCAGACAUGUAGUUCGCCAUCCAGAUGGGCUGACCUGCCUGCCUUCUGUGUGCUGCUGUGUGCUGUGUUCUGUGGGAGGCAGAUACCUGCAACGGUGCCUUCACUUUGGAGGCUCAGAAGAUGCGACACGGUGCCCCUGAGGCGCAUGUCUUGGCUGAGGUGAGGUCAAAGGACCCAUCCCAUUGAUCCCCACUUUUGGUUUGAGGGUGCUUGUCUAGGUCCCAGGUCCUCUUCCGUUGACAUUCAGGUCUUAUCUUUGAGGAUGGCAUCCUGUUUUAUCAGAUAUUUUUGUUCCCAUCUCAUGAUGAUGUGAAGGUGGUGAGAAUAGUGUCUGUGAGCCACUUGAUACAGGCAGCCAUCUAAUAAACCUGAGAUUUCCCUUGCCUGUCAAACCUGCCCCCUGCCCCUUUUGCAUCACGGGCCCACAGCCUCGUUCCUGGGCUUGGGGCUCCUCAGCCAGGCUGGAGCAUUUAGUGGACGGUGGCGACCAUUUGGAAAGAGCUUAUUGCCCUCUCAAGCCAAGACCUGGUAAAAAUCAAACCUCUGGGUGGAGAGUCCUGUGGGUUGAGCUGAGGUUCACUUACGUAAUGUCCUCAUGCUCUGACGUCGUUUUCUCAUUUCUCCUUUAAACGGGACCGCAGUCUUGAUCUUCAGAGAUCACGGCAACUAACAAGUCUUGCUGGAAGUUUAUCUUUCAGUUGCCUUUCUGGCAGGGUCCUACUAAGUGGAUCUCUGCAGAAUAGGAUGCCAGCUGCUGGGCAGACAAGUAAUGACAACUUGGUGUGAGAGCUGCUGAGGACGGCGGUCCACCCCCUUGUUCAGGAUGCAGUGGGACCUCGGUGUCAGAGCCCCUGACAGUCAGCCUUGCACUGGAGACCGUGGAAGGAAGCCCUCAGGUUGUGAAUCAGUGACCGUCAGGGUAACUUGGCACCUGGGUUUGCUGCUGUUCUCACCAAGGUGAGAGUCUCUUGGGAUUGUUGGCGGACACCAGAGGGGCAAAGAACGAAGCCUCACCACCGCUGCCGGCUCAGAGCAUCAGGGGACGACGGUUCACUCUGCACAGGAGAUCAGAGGAAAAGUGCUGGGACCGGGGGUUGGGGUCCACUUCAGCUGGCUCUGAGUCUUGACAGCAAACAGUACCCUCACAGGGCCAUGAGCGGGGGCGGGGGCGGGGCGCCCCGUGUUCCUCUGCCAUGCUUGGAAUAACCUUGAUAACCAACAGUUUCUCUCAUCACUUUCCUCUCCACCUACCCAUUCAAUAAACCUUACAAACUUGCUCCUUCUGCCUUUUAAAUCAGUAUCAAGCCGUGUGCCAGCAAGCCUAGGCAUGGAGAAAGUGGGUCACAGGCCAGAUGUUGUUUUCAGUCCUCAAGCCUUUCCGGUCACGCUCCUAAGGUUGGGGACAUAGGCUGUUGUUGAAGUGUUCAGUGAGGACGAGGAGGUGAACAAGUGAUGGCAGUUGGCUCAGAUUUAGUGAAAGUUGAGGGUGUUGAGGAAGAGUCAAUCCAAGGCUUUGGAAGGGGCUGGUGACAGGGUGGCCUGGUGUGAGACAGGUGCUGAUGUCAUAGAGGAAGCUGGGGUGGCCUGGAGUUCUGGGUCCCAGUUCUCCUGGGAUUGAGGGGUUUCCCGGGACGUGGGACUUGCUUUGCUACAACUGGAAAAGUCCUAGGCAAACUGGGAUGAGUUGGUCAACUUCUCUGGGGUAUGAAAUACAUGAUGUCAACUUGAGAGGACAGGUUACCGAGUAAAGGGGGGAGCAGGGUGAACGUGGAGCAGCUGCCAUUGGUGGACGUUGGGAGUGUCCUCAAGGUCAGGCUUUUUGGAGAUCAUUGGGGUAAAAUCAAUAACUGCGACAAUGUGAUGAUGGCUGUGCUGAGGGUGAGCAUGCGUGAACUUUAACCCCAUUUUACAGAUACAAGGGGUCUACAUGAGGAACUAGGUCCCACAGGCCAUGGAGAAACGCUGGACUUCAUUUGAAAUUGAAACCACAUUGGCUGGGCUGAGGCUGAGGCAGGAUUCAGGCUGCAAGCCCGCCUUGCUGAGUUGGACACCUCGAUGGUCUCCACCGCAGGGACCGGCAUUCUUUGCGGGUGAAGUGUACUCUGCCAGCCAGUUCCUGGCAGAGGUAUCCAGAAGUCGAAGGUUCUUUUUCUGCCUUGCCCUUCUCUUUAAAACCAACCCAAGGACGAUCCUCUGACUUCCGUUUGCCACCUUCAGUGAGCUGGUCGUAGCUGCCUGCAAAGAUGCCAAAGAAGGAGUCAGGGUCCACUUGAGAAAGUUGGCGAUGGUGGCUGAUGCCAGCUGCUGUGGAGGGGCAGCAGCAGGAACGUGGGCCAGGACUGAAGUCUGCCUGGCGACACCAGACGUGGCCGACCAGACACCAGGUGGUCGUCACUCCUGCCUAGGUCCACUGCAGUGUGUGAAGCAGGAGCCCUCCCAGGUCUUCAGGACCUGAGGAAAUCCGGGAAGCGCAUUACAUCCAAGGCGACCCAGAAACCAGGAUUAAGGUCGAGACAUGAUCCUUGCCUAGAAACUGCUGGGUACCGGAAGGCGCGUUGGAGCAGCUGGUGGGAGAUUCCAUAGCAAGAUCGAGAGCCAGGAGAAUGGAGACGUGGACAGACUGAAACUUCAUUCAUUUAAAAAAAAAAAAAAAUGAAGCGAUUUAUUUAUGAGCCAGACACCACGCUAGAAAUAGCGCUACAAGGAUGAAUAAGACAGUGUGUGCCUUGAAGGGGAUCAUUGAUAAGUAUGUAAUGUUUGUGAUUUUACUCAAAGUUGUGUAUGCUUUUGUCUUUUUGUUUCAGGUAGAAGAGCUCCUUUCAAUAUUUCUUGUAAUGCAGGUCUUGUGGUAAAUUCCCUCAGCUUUUGUUUGUCCCAUCUCAGCCAACACACAAACAAGGAAGGGGCAAAAGAAGACUUUUCAGCUCACUUCUGUCUGACUUGUUUGUUCCCGUAACCAUGACCUCAAAUGACACGUACAGCAUGUUUAACGUUGAGCAGGACGCUUUGGGCUGAGUAGUAACUGGACACGGCUCGCGCUUUUAUUUAUUUUUUUUCUUUUUAGUGG
This is a long non-coding RNA of Rhinolophus ferrumequinum (greater horseshoe bat), 5032 nucleotides long. RefSeq lists it as uncharacterized. The transcript has 6 exons. Lineage: Eukaryota; Metazoa; Chordata; Mammalia; Chiroptera; Rhinolophidae. The record is from RefSeq and is a predicted model, not a curated record.